RNAcentral lists this ribosomal RNA (493 nucleotides) under uncultured bacterium. RNAcentral's name for it is "bacterial SSU rRNA". It matches the Rfam family "Bacterial small subunit ribosomal RNA", at positions 29 to 521 of the family's 1533-position model. The record is from RNAcentral.
AGCGAACGUUUGCGGCGGGCCUAACACAUGCAAGUCGAACGCACUAGCAAUAGUGAGUGGCGCACGGGUGCGUAACACGUGGGUAAUCAACCCUUCAGCUUGGGAUAACGACUUGAAAGGGUCGCUAAUACCGGAUACGGCGCGGGAGGCUUCGGCUUCUCACGAGAAAGCCUCGCAAGGGGCACUGAAGGACGAGCCUGCGGCCCAUCAGCUAGUUGGUGAGGUAAGAGCUCACCAAGGCGAAGACGGGUAGCUGGUCUGAGAGGAUGAUCAGCCACACUGGAACUGAGACACGGUCCAGACUCCUACGGGAGGCAGCAGUGGGGAAUAUUGCGCAAUGGGCGAAAGCCUGACGCAGCCACGCCGCGUGAGCGAUGAAGGCCUUCGGGUCGUAAAGCUCUGUGGGGAGAGACGAAGAAAGCCCGUGAAGAGCGGGCCUUGACGGUAGUCUCCUUAGCGAAGCACCGGCUAACUCCGUGCCAGCAGCCGCGGU